AUGGAGAUUGCCAUGGGGGCCAUCGGCCCUCUCCUACCAAGGCUCACUGAUCUGCUUGUCGGCGAGUUCACCCUGGAGAAGCGAGUGCGGAAAGGCAUCGAGUCUCUGAUCACAGAGCUCACGUUGAUGCACGCUGCCCUCCGCACGGUGGCAAAGGUGUCACCAGAUGAGCUCGAUGAGGGGGUCAAGAUUUGGGCAGAAAAGGUGAAGAGGUUGUCCUACCAAAUGGAGGACAUCGUUGACACCUUCAUGGUGCAUGUGCAGGAUGGUGGUGAGCCAGCCAACCCGAAGAACGGAAUCAAGAAGUUACUCAAGAAGACCACCAAACUAUUCAAGAAGGGCAAGAAUCUCCAUCGGAUAUCCGAUGCUCUAGAAGAAGCGGUUGGUCAGGCUAAACAAUUGGCCGAGCUACGUCAAAGGUACGAGCUUGUGCAUGACACCGGUGCUGGAGCUAGCAUUGACCCUCGUGUCAUGACGCUAUACAAAGAUGUCACAGAACUUGUUGGCAUUGAAGAUACCCGCGAUGAGUUGAUCAACAGGUUGAUCGAGGGUGAUGAUUGGUUGAACCAUCCAAAGAAGACGGUCUCUAUUGUUGGGGUUGGCGGCUUAGGCAAGACAACUCUUGCCAAAGCAGCAUAUGACAAGAUCAAAGUGCAAUUCGAUUGUGGUGCAUUUGUUUCAGUUUCUCAGAAUCCCGAUAUCAAAAAAAUCUUGAAGGAUAUUCUCUUUGAACUUGACAACAACAAGUAUACAAAGAUUUAUGAUGAAGUCAGGGAUGAAACACAUCUCAUUGACGAGAUCAUUAGAUUUCUUAAUGACAAGAGGUACCUUAUUGUAAUUGAUGACAUAUGGGAUAAAAAGGUUUGGGAAAUAAUCAAGUGUGCAUUUUUCAAGAAAAGUAUCGGAAGUCGGCUAAUCACAACAACUCGUAUUGUCAGUGUGUCUAAAGCAUGUUGUUCAUCUAUUGAUGAUAUUUACAAAAUGAGAGUUCUUUCCAAUGAUGUAGCAAGAAGACUCUUCAAUAAAAGAGUAUUUUCUCAUGAAAAAGAGUGUCCUCAUGAAUUGGUGCAAGUUUCUGAAGAUAUCUUGAAGAAAUGUGGUGGGAUACCACUAGCCAUUAUUACUAUAGCAAGUCUUCUUGCUAGCAACUGUCAAAUAAAAAUGAAGGACCAGUGGUACAUCUUGCUCAAUUCCAUUGGAAGAGGACUUACAGAAGAUCCUGAUGUGGAGGAAAUGAAGAAGAUAUUAUUGUUUAGCUAUUAUGAUCUACCUUCCCAUUUGAAGCCUUGUUUGUUAUAUCUGAGUAUCUUUCCAGAAGAUCAUAAGAUUAUGAGGGAUGAGCUUAUAUGGAGGUGGAUAGCAGAAGGAUUUAUUUGCAGUGAAAAACAGGAAACUAGUUUAUAUGAGCUCGGUGAUUGCUAUUUUAAUGAGCUUAUAAAUAGAAACAUGGUCCAGCCAGUGGACAUCGACGAAGAUGGAAGGGCAGAAGCUUGCCACGUGCAUGACAUGGUGCUUGACAUCAUAUGUUCCUUGUCAAGUGAAGAAAACUUUGUCACCAUAUUGGAUGGUACUAAGAGAAAACUGCCUAACCCGCAAAGGAAGGUUCGCAGAUUAUCCAUCCAUAAGAGCAACACAGAUGUACUGGCUACCACCAGCAUAGCACAAGCGAGGUCUGUUACUGUUUUUGGAAAUGAUAUUGUUCAACAAAUGCCGCUUAUUUCAAGUUCUAAAGGUCUGCGUGUGCUGGCUUUAGAAGGUUGUACUAUUUCAGAUAUUGGGCACAUGGACAAUUUGUUACACCUGCGGUACCUAGGCCUAAGAGGUACAUGGGUUGAAGAGUUCCUGGUUGAUAUAGGAAAGCUGCAUUUUCUGCAAACACUGGACUUGAGAGGAACUAAAAAUAUACGUGAAUUGCCAUCAAGCAUUGUUUGGUUAAGAAAUCUGAUGUGCCUAUAUAUCGAUGAGGCCAUGAACAUGCCAUGUGGGAUUGCUAACCUGACGUCCCUAGAAGUGCUAAAGGAACUGCGUUUGGUUGAUGAUAAUCUAGUCAUUGUGAAAGAGAUGUUCCAUCUAAUCAAGUUGAAGGUGCUCGAGAUUGGAUGGUACUGUAGUCGUCUUGAUGAAAGCAUGGGAAAAACUUUGGCGAAAUCCCUAAGUAAUCUGCAUAGGUUGGAAAGUCUACGUAUUAAUGCACAUGGACGCAUCUAUUUCUUGCAGGAAGGCUGGAUACCCCCUCCACAGCUCCGUAAAUUAGUGUUUUACAUAUAUGGCAGUGUCGCGUUUGACACACUGCCUUCAUUUAUUAGCCCGACAUUGCUUCCUCUCCUCUCCUACCUGGUGAUAACGGUGUAUGAAUUGCAACCAGAGGACAUUCAGCUUCUUGGGAUGCUGCCCAAUCUUCGUUAUCUCUAUUUCAGAGGGGUCAUCACCAAGAGCUUAUCAAUGGAGGAUGCCACAAUAAUUUCCGGCCCUAAUUUUUCCAGUUCCUGCUUCAGUUCCGCAGCGAAGUUGUUCCUUACAUCUGAUGCCUUCCCAUGUGCGACCAAGUUAUCCUUCGAUGGUAUUCCUGUGAUGCCGUCAGCAUUCCCUCGAGGAGCCGCCCCAAGGCUUAAACACCUUGAGUUUUCCUUCCGAGCUAAGUGGAUCACACAUGACGACGUGGAUUUGGGCAUGGGGCACCUCCCUUCCCUCCAGACCGUCAGGGUCCAGCUUCACACUUUUAAAUCCAGCAUUUUGGAGGUGAAGAAAACACAGGCUGCGCUGAGGGCUGCAGCGAGGGACCAUCCCAACCGCCCGGCCGUUAGUAUCCGAAAUGGAAUUGUUUUGGUUCAAAUCAAGGGCUCGAGUCAUCAAAAUCCUGCACACAGGUAG
This 2871-nucleotide ribosomal RNA is filed under the name Triticum aestivum (bread wheat). RNAcentral's name for it is "partial small subunit ribosomal RNA". Lineage: Eukaryota; Viridiplantae; Streptophyta; Magnoliopsida; Poales; Poaceae. The record is from RNAcentral.